UACGUAGGGGGCAAGCGUUGUCCGGAUUUAUUGGGCGUAAAGAGCGUGUAGGCGGUUAGGUAGGUCCGUUGUGAAAACUCGAGGCUCAACCUCGAGACGCCGAUGGAAACCAUCUGACUAGAGUCCGGAAGAGGAGAGUGGAAUUCCUGGUGUAGCGGUGAAAUGCGCAGAUAUCAGGAGGAACACCAAUAGCGAAGGCAGCUCGCUGGGACGGUAUUGACACUGAGGCGCGACAGCGUGGGGAGCAAACAGG
This 253-nucleotide ribosomal RNA is filed under the name uncultured bacterium. RNAcentral's name for it is "partial 16S ribosomal RNA". It matches the Rfam family "Bacterial small subunit ribosomal RNA", at positions 524 to 776 of the family's 1533-position model. The record is from RNAcentral.